This is a long non-coding RNA of Lagopus muta (rock ptarmigan), 3331 nucleotides long. RefSeq lists it as uncharacterized. Lineage: Eukaryota; Metazoa; Chordata; Aves; Galliformes; Phasianidae. The record is from RefSeq and is a predicted model, not a curated record. The transcript is spliced from 3 exons.
CUCUUCUGGAGAUCUGCUCUGCUGGAGUUUUGUAAGUGAGCCCAGGAUAGGGAAGUAAGAAUGCCCUGACAGAAGUAUGCCUGAAGCCAGGAUACAGUUUUGGGGAGAUGAGGAAACUGAAGGAAGUCCCUCUCCCAUAUUCGGCAUGGGACGAAGGAGUACAGAGAAGACUUAGAAGGUACAAAAGGACAACAAAAAAAGAAGAGGACAGGAAGCUUGGCUCUUCCUUCAUUAGAGUUAUCAGAGCAAGUUCUGUGCCAGCAGAAGACUUUGACCUCAUCCUGUUAACGCUUUAUCCUGGUACUUCCAAACCUGAGACCACGUGCUUCCAUCUGUGCUUUUAUUCAGGGUUUGCAAGGAAGAUGUUUACUGCUUGAUCUGCAGUGGUGACCACAGGUGUCAUGCAUGACAGCCAAUGCCAACUGAAUGAAAGAACAGAUAAAUGUUAUCUCCCAGCAGUUGCAAGGUUGACUUGACUGUUGUGCAGUUGGGCCUGUCUUGGCCUGAGAGUGUCAGAUCUGCCUGGCCCAUGACUGGCUUUAAUACUCACAUGGGGUGACAGCUCCAGCCCUGGGCUGACCAAAGCUCUGGGAGGGCCCUGAAGAGGGCAGGAGCUGCAGCAGUCAUGGGCAGCACCAGAACCAGUCCUUUGUGCAGCCAAGGCUGGGCCUGGUUUCGAUUCCGUGAGGCUUCAGCCAGGUAAACAAUAACUUCUUGUUUAAUGCCUAUGUGAUAUGUAUUCCUUUUUAGCCCACAAGAAAGUUUUAAGUGUGACACUGCAUUACUCUGAACUCAGAACAUCAUUUUGCACCCAGCAGAGCUGCUGCUGCCCCCAAGGUCUCACAUUAUUGCAGCCAUCAGAUGCUGAUCAGUGUUUAUUGCUGAAAGUUUCCAGUUAUUUUCUAUUAUGCUCUCAUUUUUAUAUGGUUGAAUAUUCAUUGCAACUAGAAAGCAAGGUUCUUGACUAGAAAACCAACUUUUGCAUAAAUGAGGACACUGUAGAAUAAAAUUCCAUAUGUAGAAACCCUCUAGAUAUCUACCAGUAAGUCAGAGGAAGUAUGUUACAUUUAAUUUCCACAGAGAUGUAAGAUACCAGCACGAAGGAAAGAGAACUGUGUACUUGUUAACAGUUACCAUAAAGGAGACAGUGAGAUUAGCAUAUUUAAAUCUUCAGAAUUAAAUAUCAAAAUCAAAAAUUUUCUCUGAAUUUAUCACCUAAGGUGAUGCUAUUGUUGAAAGCAAAAGUACUGAGGGUGUUAAAUGGUAAUUUUCUAUGCACUUCACAGUAACAAGUUUUUCAGAAUUGCAUCCUUUCUGUGAAAGAGCAUUUAUUGAAAAACGCAGCAGCUCACCACACCUUUUAUAGACUCUGAGACAAUUAAUGGUGAAGACCCCUGGAAAAGAAAUGAGAUUUGUGUAAGUAAUUGCUAAGAUAAACAUUUUAGAAAUGCUGAGAUCCUGGUUUUAGAGGUGAGCAAGAUUUCUAAAUCUAUCAGGUACUCUUGAGAAUGCUAUGAUUUGUUAUCUCUCUGUAGCAUUUCAGUGUUUAACUGCCCAUUUGGAGAUGCUUUGAGCCUGAUUAAAAAAUAAUAAUAAUGUCUGAGCAUUUGGGAUAUCUGCAGAAUUCAGUCAAACUGAUGUAAGUUGUGUUAUGAUCAGACUUAAGACUGUCAAUGAUCCAUUUGCCAAGUGAUGUUCUAAUAUAAACACAACCAUAAAAUGGUAUUUUUGUGACUACUAAAGGUUUGCUGCCUAAACACUGCUUACCUUGCUUCAUCAGAAAUGGACUGUGCCAAUGUGUUGACUUGUAUAGAAGGCUGAUUGAGCACAGAUGGGUCAAAAUGGUUUGGCACCUAUUCCUCUGAGGACGUAUGGACACCAGAUUGCUCGUUUUCACUGCUGAGGGGUAGAACAUAGUGUUUGUUUUUCUGCAGGUCUGUGUCCCGUAAAAGUGUUAAUCCUGAAUUUAUUUCACCAGAGUUGACAGAGAUUUCUGGUCUAUUUUACAAAUGCAAUUGCUGGUAUAAACAAUUUACAUUAAAGUUGAUUAGGAGCUGUUUUGAUUAGACAAUUUUGUUCCAGGAAAGCUGAGUUAGUGAAAUGAGCCCAGGAUUGGGAAUGAGUUUUUUCAGAAGGGGAUUUUCUAGUCCUCUGAGGAAGAAACCUUGUUUGGUAGCUGCUAGCAGCUGUUAGUCCCCUAGCUAAGAGCUCCUACUGAGAUGGGGAGAAAGGCCUAGCCUGGCAAUCACUGACCUAAAUGCCUUGACAGGCUGCUCACAGUUCGGCGAUGGAUGUUUUUUUCUCAUUCUUCAGUUUUCCCUCAUUAAAAGACUUCCUUUCUUCCCAGUGAGAAGUGGGGAAACAUUUUAGUUUUUAGAAGUGAUACGAUACAGUAACUGUUUUGUGCUCAGCUCCAUUUACAAUAUAUAAAUAUAAUACAUUUGCACAGAGAAGAAUUGAUAUCCUACAAGUAUUACUAGAAAAAUAUUUUUUUCCAAACAUUUAAAGUGAAUACUCAGUUUAUGUGGUCAUUCACUGUGACUGCUGCUGAAUGUAGCUGUUUUUAUGGAACUGUUUUGAUGCUCUUGAACACUGCACAGAAAGAUAGUAUGCAUGUUUUAUUAGUUACUACUAAUAAAAAUACCUUUAUAUUUCUUACUUAUUCUUUUUAAAUAAGAGCUGAGGCUUUGUCUUGAUUGUUAUGUCCUACUGGAGUAAAAACUCCGUUAUAUACAGUUAUACUAAAGCAACAACGGAGGAAAAGACCUGUGCUUUUUAUAGGUAUACAUUGCAGUCUCUUUUACUAGGCUGGCUUACAAGACAAAAAUGUUCAUUCUUUAUUUGUAUGAACAGCCAAGUGUAGCAGCACCAAUGUCUGUAACUGGAUUUCAUUAUGGAAAUUCAGCUAAAAAGGGCCACAGGCACAAAAAUCCAUUAAAAUGUUUCUAUUGCUUUACAUAUUCUUCUGUGAUAAAAAUAGCCCUAUAUUUGAAUUUAAGAAGCUUUUGCCUAAAGGGUAGCAGAUGGAUAUUAAGGAGAUUAUAAUAAAGAAGAGUAUUAUAAAAAAAAAAAAAAAGCUGAUGGGGGAGUACCAUUCUUUCAUAUUUAGGGAAAACAUUUGUAAGAGCAAAAGGUAUUCCAAAAAUUGUCUCUCUUUAGGUAAUUAAUAAUAGCUUGUUGAUUCUUUCUUUUACUAUGUGAAGGCCUGAUCCUAAAAUGGGCUUGUUCUGUAAAACUCUGAUACAACUGGCAGCUGAAAAAUUGGAUGGAUCUAGGACACUUGCAUUGUUGUUACUGUAACUGUGUUGUAAGAUGUGAAGAGUAGCUGCCA